Molecule: ribosomal RNA, 481 nt
Filed under: uncultured bacterium
Lineage: Bacteria
Description: partial 16S ribosomal RNA
Rfam family: Bacterial small subunit ribosomal RNA
Source: RNAcentral
ACUCAAAUGAAUAGACGGGGACCCGCACAAGCAGCGGAGUGUGUGGUUUAAUUCGAGGCAACGCGAAGAACCUUACCUGGAUUCAAUCGAGAGUGCACCGGGGGUAAUGCCCCGUCCCCGCAAGGGGCGCUCUUGACGGUGCUGCAUGGCUGUCGUCAGCUCGUGCCGUGAGGUGUUGGGUUAAGUCCCCUAACGAGCGCAACCCCUGUUGCCGGUUACCUGUCCGGCGAGACUGCCGCGCACAACGCGGAGGAAGGCGGGGAUGAUGUCAAGUCAGCACGGCCCUUACGACCAGGGCAACACACACACUACAAUGGUCGGGACAAUGAGCGGCCACACCGCGAGGUGCAGCGAAUCUCCCAAACCCGGCCCCAGUUCAGAUCGCAGGCUGCAACUCGCCUGCGUGAAGGCGGAGUUGCUAGUAACCGCCGGUCAGCAUACGGCGGUGAAUACGUUCCCGGGUCUUGUACACACCGCCCGU